Molecule: long non-coding RNA, 591 nt
Filed under: Pandoravirus salinus
Description: putative ncRNA
Source: RNAcentral
CCGGUCCACAGGCACUACUCCCGCGUCGCGCCCUUUUGGACAUAUUCUCUUUUGGUCGGCCAAAAUACCGAGACUUUUUUCUCUGCUUUGUGGUCAAGGCUUUCCUGUCGUCUUUUCUUUGUCCACAAAAAACUAUUCCGCGAUUGCCGGCAUGCAUGCCGGCAGUGCGCUUUAUCCAAAAGACACAGGUGCUCCACAUGUCCGUACACGUGUGCCAACGUCGCAAAAAAAUGCGACGAGUACAAAAGACCGAGCGCACCAGACAGGCCUUGGAUGCUUGUCACAACCGGUUCACAGGUACGAAAAGACGACAUGGCGCAGGAGCACACCGUGAUAUGUUGACAUUUGCUCGUGGUCUGUUGGGUUUUUUCCCUAAACUAGGACAGCCGUAAAGAAUUUUUGCGCGAUCUACGAGGCUACCCGACAGAGAUACGGCGGUCGCAAACUGCCAAUGGGCCCCUCGCCAUUUUGACCGUUCUAGGCCUGCAACGAGACAUAAAAGAGAGACGCCUUUUCAGACUAUUCUGCUGUGCGUUGCCAACAUGCCUGCCUUUUUUUUUUGUUGGAGCCGGAAUGUCUGUUGUGAAUUUG